This 245-nucleotide ribosomal RNA is filed under the name uncultured bacterium. RNAcentral's name for it is "partial 16S ribosomal RNA". It matches the Rfam family "Bacterial small subunit ribosomal RNA", at positions 524 to 768 of the family's 1533-position model. The record is from RNAcentral.
GACGAAGGUGGCUAGCGUUGUUCGGAAUCACUGGGCUUAAAGCGCACGUAGGCGUCCUGUUAAGUGUCUUGUGAAAUCCCCCGGCUCAACCGGGGAACCGCUGGGCAUACUGGCAGGAUGGAGGCAGGUAUGGGUGCAUGGAACUCUUGGUGGAGCGGUGAAAUGCGUAGAUAUCAAGAGGAACGCCGGAGGUGAAGACGAUGCACUGGGCCUGUCCUGACGCUGAGGUGCGAAAGCCAGGGGAG